Molecule: ribosomal RNA, 460 nt
Filed under: uncultured bacterium
Lineage: Bacteria
Description: partial 16S ribosomal RNA
Rfam family: Bacterial small subunit ribosomal RNA
Source: RNAcentral
CCUACGGGAGGCAGCAGUGAGGAAUAUUGCACAAUGGGCGCGAGCCUGAUCCAGCCAAGUAGCGUGAAGGAUGACUGCCCUACGGGUUGUAAACUUCUUUUAUAAAGGAAUAAAGUGAGGCACGUGUGCCUUUUGCUAUGUACUUUAUGAAUAAGGAUCGGCUAACUCCGUGCCAGCAGCCGCGGUAAUCCGGAGGAUCCGAGCGUUAUGCGGAUUUAUUGGGUUGAAAGGGAGCGUAGAUGGGUGGUUAAGUCAGUUGUGAAAGUUUGCGGCUCAACCGUAAAAUUGCAAUUGAUACUGGCAGGCUUGAGUACAGUUGAGGUAGGCGGAAUUCGUGGUGUAGCGGUGAAAUGCUUAGAUAUCACGAAGAACUCCGAUUGCGAAGGCAGCUUACUAAACUGCCACUGACAUUGAUGCUCGAAAGUGUGGGUAUCAAACAGGAUUAGAUACCCUAGUAGUC